This 497-nucleotide ribosomal RNA is filed under the name uncultured bacterium. RNAcentral describes it as "partial 16S ribosomal RNA". It matches the Rfam family "Bacterial small subunit ribosomal RNA", at positions 28 to 507 of the family's 1533-position model. The record is from RNAcentral.
GAUGAACGCUGGCGGCGUGCCUAAUACAUGCAAGUCGAGCGAACGGACGAGAAGCUUGCUUUUCUGAUGUUAGCGGCGGACGGGUGAGUAACACGUGGAUAACCUACCUAUAAGACUGGGAUAACUUCGGGAAACCGGAGCUAAUACCGGAUAAUAUUUUGAACCGCAUGGUUCAAAAGUGAAAGACGGUCUUGCUGUCACUUAUAGAUGGAUCAGCGCUGCAUUAGCUAGUUGGUAAGGUAACGGCUUACCAAGGCAACGAUGCAUAGCCGACCUGAGAGGGUGAUCGGCCACACUGGAACUGAGACACGGUCCAGACUCCUACGGGAGGCAGCAGUAGGGAAUCUUCCGCAAUGGGCGAAAGCCUGACGGAGCAACGCCGCGUGAGUGAUGAAGGUCUUCGGAUCGUAAAACUCUGUUAUUAGGGAAGAACAUAUGUGUAAGUAACUGUGCACAUCUUGACGGUACCUAAUCAGAAAGCCACGGCUAACUACGUG